UCCAGUGACUUUGACACAAGAUUUCAGAAUAAAUCUCAGAUUGCUGUCAAGUCUGUAGUGGAGGCCUUGGAGAUAAGAAUUUUCUUGAGUUCUCUGAAAAUAUGGAGCCCUGGAGUGCUGGGACCAUAGUCUUCUAUAGAAGGUAAUCAGGAAUAGUCCCUUACUUUCAAACUGGUUUAAGACCUUUCUCCUUUCAAAAACAUUGGUAUUUUUUUCUGCUCAGGAUGAUUAGGACUUAGAGUUACUCAUUUGACCAAAUGGUCUCUCAGAACCAUCCCUUUUGCUUGGGGCCCAUGGAAUAUUUUACCUCAGACCAUGGAGCAUUGAUCCCUCUGUUGAAGGUUCACUGAAAUCCAAAAGGAGGGAGCAAAUCCUGGAAUCUCAUGCUACUUCCUUGUGUAAGGUCACAUGAUAUGUUGUGAAGUCAUCAGUCUGGUGCUCAUUUCUUUUUGGUUGAAUAUAGUUUUUAGGAGGCAAUCAGGCUUAGGACACCCCCAACUUUUCUUGAAUCAUGGAAUCUAUAUUCAGUCUCUUGCAGAUUCAGCUAAAGAUGUGUAUAUGCUAGACUGUGAAGUACCAUUAGAAGAUGAAGCAAUGUAGGACCUCUUGAGCUAUUUUCAAGGUAAACUGGAGGUUCACUUGGGAUGCAAUGAAGAGCCCCUGACAAGCAUAUUCUUCAAAGCCUCCCAUGGUGUAACUGAAGAUACGAUAUGUGAAGUAGCCCUAGCUUGCCUGCUCAAGGAGGGACAUCAGAAUGAUACCUUUUGCUCCAGUUGUUCUCAAAUUCACAUCUUCUGUCCAUGGGGUCUGUAAUGUCACCGUUUCAUAGAAGAACUUCAGUGUCUCUCCUUUCCCUAUGGGAGCAUCAACACUCCACAUCUACUCACAAGUAUUUCACCUUUUUUCUCUGUAUAGUGGACAAGAGCACUUUCACCAAAGGCCCACAUUGGCCUGAAAUAUCUUCUUUUGCCCAAGGCGUACUCAUGCCUGCACUCUCUUGUGGCCAUCAUUAGCACUUCUUCUCUUGAUUUUGUGAGCCUGCUAUAUCCCAACUGUUUAGGAUUACAUACAAACUUAUUUCUGCUACAUGUAUUCUGAGACAUUCCUCCAUGGAAGGAAGGGGUGUUGAUCUUUUCUUGUCUGAAAAAAAGUCUUCAAAGCCCAAAGACAACUGCUGGAAUGAAAUGCAACCUAUAGGACUGAUGGAAGAAUUGCUACCUGGACUUUCAAAUGCCAUGAAAAUAUAUGGACAUUCUAAAUACUGAUAAAGAAUAGGAAGCUGAUCAAGCAAUACUGGAUCUUCCUCUGCUCCACGAGAGGUGUCCUUUCACAUGCAGAGGAAUGUGUAGAUGGACAUAUAUUUGAAUAAGAUACUGAACCUAAGACUACUGCAUUAGAGCCUCGUACAAGACUUCUAAGACUGUUGACUGCCUACCAUGGAUAUUCAGGCAUCUGCAGAUACAUCCCUUUGAAAAAUGAAUCCUUCUCACUAGAGACCAUAGAGAGAACCUGCAUUUCAAUGAUAAUUAAAUGUCAUUUCAAGACAUCAAAUCAAAAUAUCAAAGUGAGAAUGGAAUAAAUUUAUUAGGACAGUGUUUUGCGAACAACUUCUUUCACAAACAGCCUUGGAAGGAGAGUUCUGAAAUUUUGCAUUUUAUAUUUGACUUUGCUCGUACUCUGACACAAUCAACUCAGAGCUGUUUGGGACUUUAUGGGCAAUUAAACACGACAAACAGAGCUGAAUGCAUCAUAUACUCUGUCGUCUGUGUUAAUAUGGCUACAGUGAAGAACAACCAUGCUAAAGAUAUUCAUCUGUUUUUCAAACAACAUCCUCAUACAAGUGUGGACUUCUGUGGGUUAUUGUAUGAAUAGGUUAAAACACUGGCUGAGAGUUGCCAAGGCAGAUGUGGGAUGGUACAUGCUUGGGGCAUGAAAGGCCUGUGUGUAGAUCAUAAACAACUUCAUAAUAUUCAUUGCUUUAAUAAUUACUAGGAAGUGGACUUCUGUAAAAUGACUUCAGAAGACAAGCAUGGUAGGCAAACAGUAACUGAUUCCCUGGAGAUUUAAAUGAUCUGGCUUGUGAAACAUGGACUUAGAAGUAGAGACAUGUCAGAACAUGAAGACUGGAAAAUCAAACCUCUGUUGCCUCUUAAGUUUCCCUACCCCAUGGUUUGAGGCAAACAGCAACAGAUU
Non-coding RNA from Rattus norvegicus (Norway rat), 2193 nucleotides. NCBI's taxonomy places the organism in Eukaryota, Metazoa, Chordata, Mammalia, Rodentia, Muridae. The record is from RefSeq and is a predicted model, not a curated record.